Molecule: ribosomal RNA, 429 nt
Filed under: uncultured bacterium
Lineage: Bacteria
Description: bacterial SSU rRNA
Rfam family: Bacterial small subunit ribosomal RNA
Source: RNAcentral
GGGCCCGCACAAGCGGUGGAGCAUGUGGUUUAAUUCGAUGCAACGCGAAGAACCUUACCUGGUCUUGACAUACACAGAAUCUUGUAGAGAUACGAGAGUGCCUUCGGGAAUUGUGAUACAGGUGCUGCAUGGCUGUCGUCAGCUCGUGUCGUGAGAUGUUGGGUUAAGUCCCGCAACGAGCGCAAUCCUUGUCCUUAGUUACCAGCGGGUUAAGCCGGGAACUCUAAGGAUACUGCCAGUGACAAACUGGAGGAAGGCGGGGACGACGUCAAGUCAUCAUGGCCCCUUACGACCAGGGCUACACACGUGCUACAAUGGUAGGUACAGAGGGCAGCUACACAGCGAUGUGAUGCGAAUCCCAAAAAGCCGGUCUCAGUUCGGAUUGAGGUCUGCAACUCGACCUCAUGAAGUCGGAGUCGCUAGUAAUCG